AACAAAACUGCGACGAGAAGAAGUAGAAAUCAUAUGUUUUCAACAGAAAGCUACCGGGUGAUGAGAGGUGCAGAAAACAGAUUUUGAAUACAUCUCUGAGUGGCACACUGAAAAGAUUUUAUAUCUUAGUAGGCUGUUGCCGGGUGCGACCGUUACAUCGCUAAGGUAUAAGCACUUUUGUGCCGUACCCGAUGAGGUUUACACAGUGAUGUGUAAAUAAAAUUGAGGUGGUAACACGUGAGCAAUUCUCCCGUCCUCUGC
Molecule: non-coding RNA, 261 nt
Filed under: Clostridium sp.
Lineage: Bacteria; Bacillati; Bacillota; Clostridia; Eubacteriales; Clostridiaceae
Description: T-box sequence
Rfam family: T-box leader
About the family: Uncharged tRNA acts as the effector for transcription antitermination of genes in the T-box leader family. T-boxes are found upstream of many aminoacyl-tRNA synthetase genes and some amino acid biosynthetic genes usually in Gram-positive bacteria.
Source: RNAcentral